CGGCGUGCUUAACACAUGCAAGUCGAACGAUGAAGCCCAGCUUGCUGGGUGGAUUAGUGGCGAACGGGUGAGUAACACGUGAGCAACCUGCCCCUGACUCUGGGAUAAGCGCUGGAAACGGCGUCUAAUACUGGAUAUGUCCCGUCACCGCAUGGUGUGCGGGUGGAAAGAUUUUUCGGUUGGGGAUGGGCUCGCGGCCUAUCAGCUUGUUGGUGAGGUAAUGGCUCACCAAGGCGUCGACGGGUAGCCGGCCUGAGAGGGUGACCGGCCACACUGGGACUGAGACACGGCCCAGACUCCUACGGGAGGCAGCAGUGGGGAAUAUUGCACAAUGGGCGGAAGCCUGAUGCAGCAACGCCGCGUGAGGGAUGACGGCCUUCGGGUUGUAAACCUCUUUUAGCAGGGAAGAAGCGAGAGUGACGGUACCUGCAGAAAAAGCACCGGCUAACUACGUGCCAGCAGCCGCGGUAAUACGUAGGGUGCAAGCGUUAUCCGGAAUUAUUGGGCGUAAAGAGCUCGUAGGCGGUCUGUCGCGUCUGCUGUGAAAUCCCGAGGCUCAACCUCGGGCUUGCAGUGGGUACGGGCAGACUAGAGUGCGGUAGGGGAGAUUGGAAUUCCUGGUGUAGCGGUGGAAUGCGCAGAUAUCAGGAGGAACACCGAUGGCGAAGGCAGAUCUCUGGGCCGUAACUGACGCUGAGGAGCGAAAGGGUGGGGAGCAAACAGGCUUAGAUACCCUGGUAGUCCACCCCGUAAACGUUGGGAACUAGUUGUGGGGUCCUUUC
Molecule: ribosomal RNA, 782 nt
Filed under: Microbacterium sp.
Lineage: Bacteria; Bacillati; Actinomycetota; Actinomycetes; Micrococcales; Microbacteriaceae
Description: bacterial SSU rRNA
Rfam family: Bacterial small subunit ribosomal RNA
Source: RNAcentral